Molecule: non-coding RNA, 494 nt
Organism: Pelobates cultripes (western spadefoot toad)
Lineage: Eukaryota; Metazoa; Chordata; Amphibia; Anura; Pelobatidae
Source: the annotation of a GenBank genome assembly
UUUACACAUCUGUAGUACCAAAGAUAGCUAUCCCCGUUCUAAUUCACUGUUUUAUGUUUCAGAGGAUAUACCUAAAUUGUUUUAAAUGUUGUGAAUACAUUUCUGGUACUGUGUCCUUAGUAAGUGCAAGUAAAUAUAAAGAUUAGCAGAUUGGUCUUAAAGGAUCAAUCAGUAGAAAGACAUACACAUAUGCAUUUAUUUCAAACAGCGUGUUUCAUGGCUUUUUAAAUGUCUGCCCCCUCCACCUUGUAAAACUGAAAUAAAAUCUUUCUUUCCACGUCGUGCCAGUCUCUUCAUGGCCAUCACUCCUCCCCUGGUUGAGGUCAUCAUUGACGAUAAUCUUACCCAAACCAAUACUUCCUCAUUGGGAGGCCACUCUGUGCCAAUUAGCAUCUCCUAACAUCUCCUUAAUGUACUUCUAUAGGCAGCGUCGUAAUUCAGAGUGUUAAUAUGCUGAAUGUCAACACUGUAAUAGGAAGCACCUCUAGUAAUGC